This 723-nucleotide long non-coding RNA is filed under the name Physcomitrium patens. RNAcentral's name for it is "long non-coding RNA (PPAT_LNC006787)". Lineage: Eukaryota; Viridiplantae; Streptophyta; Bryopsida; Funariales; Funariaceae. The record is from RNAcentral.
GAAAUAUCUAGUUUUUAGCACAAGAAGAUUUUGGAAGUUGGCAAUUUGGAGUUGGAUAGGGGUUCUCUGAUAUCUAGAGAUCUACUUGUUGGAUUAAGGUGAAAUUUGGCAUGGUAUUGAAGGACUUGAAGAUCAAGGUGCACAAAAAUUUUGAGUCAAAGUUAACGGUUGGAGAAGGAAAAAUCACUGCUGGGUUUUUUGCUUCACUUUUUAAGUUGGCAGCCGAGUGACAUCACUGCAAUUUUUGGAGGUUUUUUCAUAAUUUGUAUGUUGAAUUGGGCUAAAAAUUCUUAAGCAUGUAGAAGACUUAUAUUGACAAUUGCAUGCAAAAUUUUACAUUAAGUGUAUGGUCAAAUUAGAAGUUAUAACUUUUUAAAUCUCACUGAUUACGAUUGGGGCUUAUUAAAAAAAUUUGAAUUAUUUAAAUAUGAAAGUAACAAGGUAAUUGAGGUUUAUGUUUGAUUGAGGCUAGUAAGAAGAGUUUUUUUUAAUACUUUUGAAUGAAAAUUUGGAUUAUAUUCUUUUCAUGUGGAUGAAACCUUUUAAGAUUUUUUGGAUGUUUGUGAAAUACAACCUCACUUUCUACAGCUAGGUGCCUAAUGCAUUCCCAAGUAAGACAAUUUGUAAUAUGAUAUAAGUAGUGAAAUUGACAUGAAAAGGCUUGGAGUGGAAGGUAUUUGGUUAUUUUAGAUUAUUUGAACUAUGGAAAAAGAAGACAAGAGA